This 2147-nucleotide unclassified non-coding RNA is filed under the name Homo sapiens (human). Its description in RNAcentral is "TATA-box binding protein associated factor 4 (ENSG00000280529.2)". The record is from RNAcentral. Lineage: Eukaryota; Metazoa; Chordata; Mammalia; Primates; Hominidae.
UUUGUCUCCUAGUUUUUGAGGUUCUGAUUUGAGGUGAUGAUUUUCAUAUCCUUAAGUGCACACUUAAGCAGAUUUUCCUGUAUUGAGAGUGUUGUUAAUUUUCUUGUUGUUCCAGGGUAGGUUUUUCUCUGAUGUGUGUGGAGCCCCCAUUUUUUGACUCUUCUCUGACUUUCCCGUGGCUCUGGGUGGCUUUACCGCCUCUGUCCCUUUGCCCUGGUGGCCUUGGGGUAUUUGCCACAUCUGUGGUUUCCUGGUGCCGUCUGCUGGCCACAUGGGGAAGUCCAGGUCUUGAGCGGGUCCUUGCUGGUGUGCAGGACGGAAGUUGUCCUCCAGUUCUCCCGGCCCUUUCCUGCAGGACCCAGAACUUCCCCCUUUCCUUCUUUUCUGCCUCACCACCCAGUGGCCAAAGGGCUCCUCUCAGGACAUGCUGUGUUGCCUUGACAACCCCUUCCCGUCUUGUGCUCAGUGGUCCCUGCCCUGUGGUCUGCACUGACCUUCCUGGACACCUCUCAGGCCCUGGGACUUGGGGUGGCUUAGCCUUUCAGCAGUGGCUUCCCACAGACCCCUGUCCCACCCCGCCCCACCGCGGCCUUGCAGGGGAGAGACUGGGGGGUCAGGCUCAGGCGUGUGUUGACUCUGCGCCGACUUGCAGUGAUUUUGAAGUCUAGGCGCCCUCGUCCAGUGCAGACGGCGAUGCUGGUGUAAACCUGCGUUCCUUGCUUGUGCUGAACUGUGUUUGGAAGAGAGGCUGGGAGACAUCAGCUCGGCAGCCACGUUGUCUUCGGCCUCCCGGAAGUGAUGCUAACUUUCUAAGCUGUGUGUCUGAGUGUUUUUCGCUACUACUGCUGUUCUUCAAAACGUGCUGCCAGUGACCUGGCCUUGUGUGUGUGACACCCCGUAAAUGGUUAGGCACGGAGAGGGCACGUACGCGUUCGGGGCGGAGGUGGCUGGAGUGUGUGCGGCAUAGGCUAUUGUUACCCGCCGCCCGGGGCGGCUGUGGGCACAGCAUUCUCCACCCAUUGCUCGGCUGGGGCUCCGUGGCGGAGUAAAGGACGGACCAAGGGGCUCCCGCCCCGGGAGCAGACGCGCUCCUCCCGGACAGCCCCCAGGUGCUGACCGUGUGGGGCCUGACGUUUGGGUGGCGCAGACCCUGCACCGGGCGGUUCCGCGGACGGCGACUCUGCAUUUGGCUUCGAUACUGAGUGUCUAUGGCACAUAUGCGGUGGAGAGACCUCCUCCUUUCAUUUGAUCCUUUUGAGAGCCCUGUGAUGGGGCGAGGGCUGUCUGCAGCGCCAUGCGUCAGAGGCUCCAUGACCAGUCCCUGCCUGACCCCUCUGGCUGCUACGCCCACCAUGGGCACAGCCCGUGAGGGGUUUGGAUGAAUCUAGGGAGGAAAGCCACUGCCACUGCCGUGUGGGUUGGGCACAGAAGGCCUUGGUCCGCUGGCAGCCCCAGUCCUGAGAAGAGAGGGGGAGGUUCCUACGAGAUCUCCACUCCAUCUUCAGAGCAGUUUAGCAACAAACUCUCUGCGGGAGCCAAAAUCCACAUAGAAUUCUGCAAGCAAAGACCCUAUGGGAAAGACAGGGAGUCUGGACCCCUCCUGCCUGGGGCGAAGUGGGCUGGGGAGAAGCGGGAGUGUGCCAUGUAGAGAAAGGCAAUUGGAGUAUCAGGGGUCGGGCCCCGGCUCAGUGGUCCCAGGCAGCUCGGGUGUCGGAACCCCCAGACAGUUCACGCGACAAAGAAUCACGCGGGUCAACCUCAGGGACCUCAUAUUUUGUUUAGAAAAUGAACGUGAGACAAGCCAUUCACUGCUGCUCUACAAAGCAUUCCUUAAGUGACACAGGAGGACGCCUGGGGACUUUUUAUAUAUUUGCAGAUUACGCCUUUUUGUAACGAGCAAAUGGGAUAUUGUUUAAAAAACAGCCACCUCUUUACAAUGGAACAGUUUUAUAUUCCUGUUUCUAAAUCAGCUCUUCAGUGUGAAAGAAAACACGUUUCUGUAACAGAGAGAACACAAAGGCCUGUGGAUACUCUUAAAGGACAAUUAAAUCUUAACUCAUCUUGAUUGAGUGGCCUUCCUGCCAAACAAGCCAUAUAUAAAGACUGAUGGAAUCGUUAGCAAAUAAUUAGCUGCCCUCUGUCAACUC